This 102-nucleotide small nucleolar RNA is filed under the name Dichanthelium oligosanthes. RNAcentral describes it as "Small nucleolar RNA R44/J54/Z268 family". It matches the Rfam family "Small nucleolar RNA R44/J54/Z268 family". From Rfam's summary of the family: R44, J54 and Z268 are members of the C/D class of snoRNA which contain the C (UGAUGA) and D (CUGA) box motifs. Most of the members of the box C/D family function in directing site-specific 2'-O-methylation of substrate RNAs. The record is from Rfam by way of RNAcentral. Lineage: Eukaryota; Viridiplantae; Streptophyta; Magnoliopsida; Poales; Poaceae.
UUGGCAGAUGACGAGAAACAAAGACAAUGGUAUCUGCAGCGCUCCUGAUUCAUGGGGCUUCAAUAGCAUGAUGACUCUGUCUAGGGGAAUCUCUGAUGCUAA